GCAAAAGUCUGACACUGAAGGCUCCCAUGAGAACUCCAGGCGUGGAGGAGUAGGAUCUGUGGUGUAAAAUCUACCCUCUUUGGUUACACCGUGAAUAAAGGACUGAGCAGAGCCAAAUAGAAGAAAAUGGGCUACUUAUGGUCCCUUGGGCUAGAAGGAAGCCAAGCAAAAGAGAAAGAAUCCCAAGGUUACUGAGUCUGACUUUUAAGAAGCAACCAUAAAAGCAAAACAUUAGGAUGAUUUGUCAUCAUACUUCGAAAGUGAUGAUGAGAAACCUUGUUCUAAGUAGUUACAACAAAGCUACCCCAUCUCAUUGUCCUGGGGGGAUUAAAUGUCAAAUUAAAUAGUAGAUCUUGGACUACUCUCCGUAUUUGAUUUAUGAGACUAUUGUGUACUGGAAUAAUUGUGAGAAUUCCAAAGGAUACAGGGAGGCUUUGGGUAAAACA
This 446-nucleotide long non-coding RNA is filed under the name Homo sapiens (human). Its description in RNAcentral is "HSALNT0325262". Lineage: Eukaryota; Metazoa; Chordata; Mammalia; Primates; Hominidae. The record is from RNAcentral.